UUGCAUGUCUCGAGACAAUCCGUGGCGUAAAUGUCUGUCUCUGGAUCCUCUAAACGUUGUUCAAUGACAGUCGAAAUGAAUUCUUCCGUCUUGGCCAUCGUAGCUUCCAUCACGGAGUUGAUAAAUAUGGAAACAUCCCCGUUUGAGGUGACAGGAGUACUCUUUUUUGAAAUUUCAAUGGUUUUUUUAUAGGCUGAGGAUGAGGAAAAGGAAGAGGACGAUUUAGAUGGAGAAAGGGGAGGUGCUUGGGAUUUAGGGAUUUUGUAUCCCUUAGGUGGGAGGGGUUUCUUAUAGGAUGAGGGCGAGGGCGAGUAUGGUUUGGAUGGAGGAGGUUCUUGGGAUUUAGGGACGUUGUAUCCCUUAGGUGGGAGGGUUUCUGUAUAGGGCGAGGACGAUGACGAUGACGAUUUAGAUGGAGAUAGGGGAGGUGCUUGGAAUCUUGGAAAAAAGAAUGUUGCCUUAGAUGGGAGGGUUGUAAAGAAUAGUGAAAUGGCAAAGACUAAAAAAAUUUGGUUAUAAAAUGCCAUUAUCUUUCUUUCUACUUUAAUAAUAGAAAGUAAGUUUGAAAGAAAGACAAUGGAAAAAAA
Molecule: long non-coding RNA, 587 nt
Filed under: Capsicum annuum
Lineage: Eukaryota; Viridiplantae; Streptophyta; Magnoliopsida; Solanales; Solanaceae
Description: long non-coding RNA (CANN_LNC021445)
Source: RNAcentral